Lacerta agilis (Sand lizard) is the source of this 222-nucleotide long non-coding RNA. RefSeq lists it as uncharacterized. The record is from RefSeq and is a predicted model, not a curated record. Lineage: Eukaryota; Metazoa; Chordata; Lepidosauria; Squamata; Lacertidae. The transcript is spliced from 2 exons.
GACGGAAAUAGUGUGGGUUAUUGAUCCCUUAUGUAUCUCUGGAGGACUCGGAGGGAAGGAAAGCGCUUGAGACAAAGUCGUACAGUGCGAGCCUGUAAAUACAUCUACUCAGAAUGAUUCCUGCGUACUUCUACCACACUUGCCCAGAUGUGGAGAAUUCUGCAAUUGGCAGCUGGGAGUGAGAGCUGUGUGGAUUUCCUUUUUAAAAGAUCCUAGUUUGAA